This 299-nucleotide unclassified non-coding RNA is filed under the name plant metagenome. Its description in RNAcentral is "partial contains 5.8S ribosomal RNA, internal transcribed spacer 2, and large subunit ribosomal RNA". The stretch from base 1 to 105 matches the Rfam family "5.8S ribosomal RNA", at positions 50 to 154 of the family's 154-position model. The record is from RNAcentral.
GAAAUGCGAUAAGUAAUGUGAAUUGCAGAAUUCAGUGAAUCAUCUAAUCUUUGAACGCACAUUGCGCUCGCCAGUAUUCUGGCGAGCAUGCCUGUUCGAGCGUCAUUUCAACCAUCAAGCUCUGCUUGCGUUGGGGAUCCGCGGCUGCCCGCGGUCCCUCAAAAACAGUGGCGGGCUCGCUAGUCACACCGAGCGUAGUAACUCUACAUCGCUAUGGUCGUGCGGCGGGUUCUUGCCGUAAAACCCCCAAUUUCUAAGGUUGACCUCGGAUCAGGUAGGAAUACCCGCUGAACUUAAGC